RNAcentral lists this transfer RNA (65 nucleotides) under Dipodomys ordii (Ord's kangaroo rat). It matches the Rfam family "tRNA". Rfam says of the family: Transfer RNA (tRNA) molecules are approximately 80 nucleotides in length. Their secondary structure includes four short double-helical elements and three loops (D, anti-codon, and T loops). Further hydrogen bonds mediate the characteristic L-shaped molecular structure. tRNAs have two regions of fundamental functional importance: the anti-codon, which is responsible for specific mRNA codon recognition, and the 3' end, to which the tRNAs corresponding amino acid is attached (by aminoacyl-tRNA synthetases). tRNAs cope with the degeneracy of the genetic code in two manners: having more than one tRNA (with a specific anti-codon) for a particular amino acid; and 'wobble' base-pairing, i.e. permitting non-standard base-pairing at the 3rd anti-codon position. Lineage: Eukaryota; Metazoa; Chordata; Mammalia; Rodentia; Heteromyidae. The record is from Rfam by way of RNAcentral.
GGUGGCUCAGUGGUAGAGUGCUUGCCUCUUAUGCAUGAGGCCCUGGGUUCAAUUCCUCAGCACCA